AGAGUUUGAUCCUGGCUCAGGAUGAACGCUGGCGGCGUGCCUAACACAUGCAAGUCGAACGUCCUUUCGGUCUUCGGACCGAGAGGGAGUGGCGGACGGGUGAGUAACACAUGGGAACCUACCUUUCAGUGAGGAAUACCGGCGAGAAAUCGCCGACAAGACCGCAUGGGCUUCCCCCUUUGUGAGAAGGGGGAAGCAAAGUCGUUGUGGUGCAAGCCACACGGACGCUGGAAGAUGGGCCUGUGGCCGAUUAGCUGGUUGGUGGGGUAAGAGCCUACCAAGGCCAUGAUCGGUAGCUGGUCUGAGAGGACGAGCAGCCACACUGGGAUUGAGAACGGCCCAGACUCCUACGGGGGGCAGCAGUGAGGAAUUUUCCGCAAUGGGGGCAACCCUGACUGAGCAACGCCGCGUGCAGGAAGACGGCCUUCGGGUUGUAAACUGCUUUUGGGAGGGACGAGCAAGGACGGUACCUUCCGAAUCAGCCCCGGCUAACUACGUGCCAGCAGCCGCGGUAAUACGUAGGGGGCGAGCGUUGUCCGGAGUUACUGGGCGUAAAGGGCACGCAGGCGGUCAGCCAGGUUUGUCAUGACAGCGCGCGGCUUAACGGCGCGAGGCAGGCAAAGACGGGCUGACUUGAGGCAUCCAGAGGGACACAGAAUUCCGGGUGUAGUGGUGAAAUGCGUAGAUAUCCGGAGGAAUACCAAAGGCGAAGGCAGUGUUCUGGGGAUGAACUGACGCUCAGGUGCGAAAGCCAGGGGAGCGAACGGGAUUAGAUACCCCGGUAGUCCUGGCCGUAAACGAUGACCACUAGGUGUGGGAGGUAUCGACCCCUUCCGUGCCGUCGUUAACGCAAUAAGUGGUCCGCCUGGGGAGUACGGUCGCAAGAUUAAAACUCAAAGGAAUUGACGG
This 909-nucleotide ribosomal RNA is filed under the name uncultured bacterium. RNAcentral describes it as "bacterial SSU rRNA". It matches the Rfam family "Bacterial small subunit ribosomal RNA", at positions 8 to 916 of the family's 1533-position model. The record is from RNAcentral.